UACACGACUGAUGACUUGAAGCAGGAGAGUAUUUCGUUAACAAUUUCAAAAUGCUCAUCACUAGCUCGAUGUCGUAUUAUGACAAGAGGUUGAGACUUAGGGUUCACUUUAGGACCAUGCAUGGAAUGACAAGAUAUGAUGUCCACAUCCUCAGGCAAGUAUUUUUCAAAUGCAUUCAUCUCUGGAGCCUUACAUGAUGUUUGACCUCCGACAAUCGCUCCAACUUUAGUUGCAGGCCCAUAUAGAGCAACAACUUUAUCAAUAUGUUCAGCUUCAACACUGUACAGAAUGUAGUCACUCGUUCGUGAAACUUGAAAUCCAUCCUUUAAAACGGUAUAUCCCCCAUUUCCAUAAGUCGCUUGUAUUGAUUCGUAAUUUUCCGGUCGAUCACAAACAUUUACUCUAUUUAUGAUGUUAGAAGGUGCUAAUAGAAAAAGUCCCUAAAGGCACUUUGAAAAGGAGAGCUAAUUGUAGAUUGUAGAACAAAAAUUAUUUACUUACCUCCAUCCUGCCUUACUGAUGUACUCUGCAUACAAGCGACCCAUAUCGCCAAAUCCUAUGAUGCCGACCUGAAAAGUCUCUUUCAUUUUCCCAAAAUCGAAUCCCAUUCUGUAUAAUUUCUUUGGAUUUUCAAAUAAAUAUUAUUUUAACUUUAGUAAAAAUAGAGAAACUUUUUUAACUAACAUAUAGUGACUUUUGCUUAUAUAUCAAAGGAUGGUGGUAACUAAGGGUAAUGUGAAUAAGCAGAAUCGUUAUGAUACUGAUUGAUACACAAGUGGAAAACUAUCUAAAUACAAUUUUUGGUUAUUUUUUGAUAUUCUACUUAUAACUUCAUACUUCUUGAUAGCAUUUGAAUAAAGUAUUGAUUGUACUCGAAUUAAUAUAUAUGAGCAGCUAAUUGUGGAAUCUGCAUAAUCUGAG
Schizosaccharomyces pombe (fission yeast) is the source of this 921-nucleotide non-coding RNA. Lineage: Eukaryota; Fungi; Ascomycota; Schizosaccharomycetes; Schizosaccharomycetales; Schizosaccharomycetaceae. The record is from the annotation of a GenBank genome assembly.